ACCUGAUGCAGCCAUGCCGCGUGUGUGAAGAAGGCCUUCGGGUUGUAAAGCACUUUCAGUUGUGAGGAAAAGUUAGUAGUUAAUACCUGCUAGCCGUGACGUUAACAACAGAAGAAGCACCGGCUAACUCCGUGCCAGCAGCCGCGGUAAUACGGAGGGUGCGAGCGUUAAUCGGAAUUACUGGGCGUAAAGCGCACGCAGGCGGUUUGUUAAGCUAGAUGUGAAAGCCCCGGGCUCAACCUGGGAUGGUCAUUUAGAACUGGCAGACUAGAGUCUUGGAGAGGGGAGUGGAAUUCCAGGUGUAGCGGUGAAAUGCGUAGAUAUCUGGAGGAACAUCAGUGGCGAAGGCGACUCCCUGGCCAAAGACUGACGCUCAUGUGCGAAAGUGUGGGUAGCGAACAGGAUUAGAUACCCUGGUAGUCCACACCGUAAACGCUGUCUACUAGCUGUUUGUGACUUUAAGUCGUGAGUAGCGAAGCUAACGCGCUAAGUAGACCGCCUGGGGAGUACGGCCGCAAGGUUAAAACUCA
Molecule: ribosomal RNA, 530 nt
Filed under: Alteromonas sp.
Lineage: Bacteria; Pseudomonadati; Pseudomonadota; Gammaproteobacteria; Alteromonadales; Alteromonadaceae
Description: bacterial SSU rRNA
Rfam family: Bacterial small subunit ribosomal RNA
Source: RNAcentral